Molecule: ribosomal RNA, 301 nt
Filed under: uncultured bacterium
Lineage: Bacteria
Description: partial 16S ribosomal RNA
Rfam family: Bacterial small subunit ribosomal RNA
Source: RNAcentral
CAGUCGCCACGGUAAUACGAAGGGUGCAAGCGUUAAUCGGAAUUACUGGGCGUAAAGCGUGCGUAGGCGGUGAGUUAAGCCUGCUGUGAAAUCCCCGGGCUCAACCUGGGAAUGGCAGUGGAUACUGGCUCGCUAGAGUGUGUCAGAGGAUGGUGGAAUUCCCGGUGUAGCGGUGAAAUGCGUAGAGAUCGGGAGGAACAUCUGUGGCGAAGGCGGCCAUCUGGGACAACACUGACGCUGAGGCACGAAAGCGUGGGGAGCAAACAGGAUUAGAUACCCCCGUAGUCCCUGUCUCUUAUAC